CUAGGAAACUCCAAGAAAAAAACUGCAUUAAAAGAAAUUGAAGACCAUGAUCCUGAUUAAUUUUCUGCAUACAAAGUUAAAUGUCCCUUGCUGCAUUUGAUGUGUAAGCUGAAUGGUGAAUAGUGAAUGAGGCAAGUCACCAUCCAUUCUCCAGAUGUUUAGUAAUUCUUUUGAUGGUGGAAAAAAUCAGUAGCAGGGACAUCUGCAGGAUGAAUGCAAG
Molecule: long non-coding RNA, 220 nt
Organism: Mauremys reevesii (Reeves's turtle)
Lineage: Eukaryota; Metazoa; Chordata; Testudines; Geoemydidae
Exons: 3
Source: RefSeq, a predicted model, not a curated record